GCCUACGGGAGGCAGCAGUGGGGAAUAUUGCACAAUGGGGGGAACCCUGAUGCAGCGACGCCGCGUGGGUGAGGAAGUACUUCGGUAUGUAAAGCCCUAUCAGCAGGGAAGAAAAUGACGGUACCUGACUAAGAAGCCCCGGCUAACUACGUGCCAGCAGCCGCGGUAAUACGUAGGGGGCAAGCGUUAUCCGGAUUUACUGGGUGUAAAGGGAGCGUAGGCGGUUUAGCAAGUCAGAAGUGAAAGCCCGGGGCUCAACUCCGGGACUGCUUUUGAAACUGUUGAACUAGAUUGCAGGAGAGGUA
RNAcentral lists this ribosomal RNA (305 nucleotides) under uncultured bacterium. Its description in RNAcentral is "bacterial SSU rRNA". It matches the Rfam family "Bacterial small subunit ribosomal RNA", at positions 337 to 659 of the family's 1533-position model. The record is from RNAcentral.